This 492-nucleotide ribosomal RNA is filed under the name uncultured bacterium. RNAcentral's name for it is "partial 16S ribosomal RNA". It matches the Rfam family "Bacterial small subunit ribosomal RNA", at positions 29 to 507 of the family's 1533-position model. The record is from RNAcentral.
AGUGAACGCUGGCGGUAGGCCUAACACAUGCAAGUCGAACGGCAGCACAGUAAGAUCUUGCUCUUACGGGUGGCGAGUGGCGGACGGGUGAGGCAUACAUCGGAUUCUACUUUUUCUUGGGUGAUAACGUAGGGAAACUUACGCUAAUACCGCAUACGUCCUACGGGUUAAAUCAGUGGAUCUUCGGACCUUUCCCGAUUGAUUGAGCCGAUGUCGGAUUAGCUAGUUGGCGUGGUAAAGUCCCACCAAGGCGACGAUCCGUAGCUGGUCUGAGAGGAUGAUCAGCCACACUGGAACUGAGACACGGUCCAGACUCCUACGGGAGGCAGCAGUGGGGAAUAUUGGACAAUGGGCGCAAGCCUGAUCGAGCCAUGCCGCGUGGGUGAAGAAGGUCUUCGGGUUGUAAAGCCCUUUUGUUGGGAAAGAAAAGCAGCAGGAGAAUACCCGGAUGUUCUGACGGUACCCAAAGAAUAAGCAACGGCUAACUUCGUG